UACACGAACUGGUUCCUGAAUUGGAGGC
This 28-nucleotide non-coding RNA is filed under the name Mus musculus (house mouse). The record is from RNAcentral. Lineage: Eukaryota; Metazoa; Chordata; Mammalia; Rodentia; Muridae.